AGUCUUUGUAGUAAUACAAGGCAGACGGCUCAGUAACACGUAGUCAACCUACCCUAUGGACGAGAAUAAUCUCGGGAAACUGAGCAUAAUUCUUGAUAGAUCAUAAUGCCUGGAAUGGUUUAUGGUUAAAAUGAUUCGUCGCCAUAGGAUGGGACUGCGGCCUAUCAGCUUGUUGGUGAGGUAAUGGCCCACCAAGGCGAUUACAGGUACGGGCUCUGAGAGGAGAAGCCCGGAGAUGGGUACUGAGACACGGACCCAGGCCCUAUGGGGCGCAGCAGGCGAGAAAACUUUGCAAUGUGCGAAAGCACGACAAGGUUAAUCCGAGUGAUUUCUGCUAAAGAAAUCUUUUGCCAGUCGUAAAACCGCUGGUGAAUAAGGGGUGGGCAAGUUCUGGUGUCAGCCGCCGCGGUAAAACCAGCACCUCAAGUGGUCAGGAUGAUUAUUGGGCCUAAAGCAUCCGUAGCCGGCUUUGUAAGUUUUCGGUUAAAUCCAUGUGCUCAACGCAUGGGCUGCCGAAAAUACUGUAUAGCUAGGGAGUGGGAGAGGUAGACGGUACUCAGUAGGUAGGGGUAAAAUCCUUUGAUCUAUUGAUGACCACCUGUGGCGAAGGCGGUCUACCAGAACACGUUCGACGGUGAGGGAUGAAAGCUGGGGGAGCAAACCGGAUUAGAUACCCCGGGCAGCCCCAGCUGUAAACGAUGC
This 702-nucleotide ribosomal RNA is filed under the name uncultured archaeon. RNAcentral's name for it is "bacterial SSU rRNA". It matches the Rfam family "Archaeal small subunit ribosomal RNA", at positions 56 to 763 of the family's 1478-position model. The record is from RNAcentral.